GGAUAUAGCUCAGUGGUAAGAGUGCAUGCCUAGCAUGCAUGAGGUUCUGGGUUCAAUCCCCAGUACAUCCA
Molecule: transfer RNA, 71 nt
Filed under: Camelus bactrianus (Bactrian camel)
Lineage: Eukaryota; Metazoa; Chordata; Mammalia; Artiodactyla; Camelidae
Also listed under: 3 other names
Rfam family: tRNA
About the family: Transfer RNA (tRNA) molecules are approximately 80 nucleotides in length. Their secondary structure includes four short double-helical elements and three loops (D, anti-codon, and T loops).
Source: Rfam by way of RNAcentral